UUGGAGGGCAAGUCUGGUGCCAGCAGCCGCGGUAAUUCCAGCUCCAAUAGCGUAUAUUAAAGUUGUUGCAGUUAAAAAGCUCGUAGUUGAAUUUCGGGGUUAGUAGGUUGGUCAUGCCUCUGGUAUGUACUGGUCUCACUGAUUCCUCCUUCCUGAUGAACCGUAAUGCCAUUAAUUUGGUGUUGCGGGGAAUUUGGACUGUUACUUUGAAAAAAUUAGAGUGUUUAAAGCAAGCUAACGCUUGAAUACAUUAGCAUGGAAUAAUGAAAUAGGACGUUCGAUCCUAUUUUGUUGGUUUCUAGGAUUGACGUAAUGAUUAAUAGGGAUAGUUGGGGGCAUUAGUAUUCAAUUGUCAGAGGUGAAAUUCUUGGAUUUAUUGAAGACUAACUACUGCGAAAGCAUUUGCCAAGGAUGUUUUCAUUAAUCAAGAACGAAAGUUAGGGGAUCGAA
Molecule: ribosomal RNA, 450 nt
Filed under: Rhizophagus irregularis
Lineage: Eukaryota; Fungi; Glomeromycota; Glomeromycetes; Glomerales; Glomeraceae
Description: SSU rRNA
Rfam family: Eukaryotic small subunit ribosomal RNA
Source: RNAcentral